This 497-nucleotide ribosomal RNA is filed under the name uncultured bacterium. RNAcentral describes it as "partial 16S ribosomal RNA". It matches the Rfam family "Bacterial small subunit ribosomal RNA", at positions 28 to 507 of the family's 1533-position model. The record is from RNAcentral.
GAUGAACGCUGGCGGCGUGCCUAAUGCAUGCAAGUCGAGCGAACGGACGAGAAGCUUGCUUCUCUGAUGUUAGCGGCGGACGGGUGAGUAACACGUGGAUAACCUACCUAUAAGACUGGGAUAACUUCGGGAAACCGGAGCUAAUACCGGAUAAUAUUUUGAACCGCAUGGUUCAAAAGUGAAAGACGGUCUUGCUGUCACUAAUAGAUGGACCCGCGCUGCAUUGGCUAGUUGGUAAGGUAACGGCUUACCAAGGCAACGAUUCAUAGCCGACCUGAGAGGGUGAUCGGCCACACUGGAACUGGGACACGGUCCAGACUCCUACGGGAGGCAGCAGUAGGGAAUCUUCCGCAAUGGGCGAAAGCCUGACGGAGCAACGCCGCGUGAGUGAUGAAGGUCUUCGGAUCGUAAAACUCUGUUAUUAGGGAAGAACAUAUGUGUAAGUAACUGUGCACAUCUUGACGGUACCUAAUCAGAAAGCCACGGCUAACUACGUG